RNAcentral lists this long non-coding RNA (1839 nucleotides) under Homo sapiens (human). RNAcentral describes it as "HSALNT0398389". The record is from RNAcentral. Lineage: Eukaryota; Metazoa; Chordata; Mammalia; Primates; Hominidae.
CUGCACUCCAGCCUGGGCGACAGAGCGAGACUCCGUCUCAAAAAUAAAUAAAUAAAUAAAUAAAUAGAAAGAAAACACUACACUCCUUUCCAUCUUUAUCGCUGUCCUGCUAAUAGUCACAUGUAGUUCUGAGCAUUUACUACUUGCCAGGUACUGUUCUGAGGCUUUCUGUGUAUCAGUUCAUUUUAUUCUCACACAAACAAGUAUGUACUAUUAUCAAGCCAUUUUAUUUAUUAAUUUAUUUAUUUUCUGAGAUACAGCUUCACUCUUGUCUCCCAGGCUGGAGUGCAGUGUCAUGGUCUCGGCUCCCUGCAACCUCCGCCUCCCAGGUUCAAGAGAUUCUCCUGCCUCAGCCUCCGGAAUAGGUGAGAUUAUAGGCAUGUGCCACCACACCCGACUAAUUUUUGUAUUUUUAGUAGAGACGGGGUUUCACCAUGUUGGCCAGGCUGAUCUUGAACUCCUGACCUCAGGUGAUCCGCCAACCUUGGCCUCCCAAAGUGCUGGGAUUACAGGCGUGAGCCACCACGCCCAGCCACUGUUCUAAGGCUUUGUGUAUAAAUUCAUCUUAUUCUCACACAAAAAAGUAUGCACUAUGAUCAAGCCAUUUUAAGGGGAGGCUCAGGGUGCUACCUGGAUUAGGAAGGUGGAUGAUAGAUUAUCUGUUUGGAUUUGAACUUUUUUUUUUUUUUGAGACACUCUCACUCUAUUAACCAGGCUGGAGUGCAGUACCAUGAUCUCGGCUCACUGCAACCUCCGCUUCCCAGAUUCAAGCAAUUCUUGUGCCUCAGCCUCCCGAGUAGUUGGGAAGACAGGUGCACAUCACCAUGCUCUGCUAAUUUUUGUAUUUUUAGUCGAGACAGGGUUUCGCAUGUUCACCAGGCUGGUCUUGAACUCCUGGGCUCAAGUGAUCCACCCACCUCGGCCUCCCAAAGUGCUGGGAUUACAGGCGUGAGCCACCACGCCCAGCCUGAAUUUUUAGAAGUUUUUAUAUAGCUUUGAUACCAAUGGAUUAAAUUUUGACAGGGCAUUUGGCAUGACUCAACUACAGGAAAGAGUUAUCAAGGUGUUCUAAGCCCUCUCACUCCUACACCCACCCCCGCUGCAGGAAAGGGCCAAAGUCAGCUUUUUCUCUGUGACCCUGUGGCUGGAGUUAGGGCUGUCCAUAAAUAAUCCUUCCUUUCUCUCCUUCCAGGCACAUGAAAAGACUGCGCUUCCCGGCGACCCUUUGAAGUUCGGCGUAACCUGCUGACCCGCUCUGGCUGAGUGUGAGCUAAGAGGACAGGUGUCAUAUCAGGUCCAAGCCUCGAGAGUCACUGCCUGCUGUGCCAUCCUCUCUUCUUCCCGUGCCAAAGGACUGGCAGCACUCCAGUGAUGGCUGUGCCAUGGGCCCGGGGUACACGAGUGAUAUGGAGCGGAGCGCUCAGCUGGCCCACAAAGGAGAGAAAACUCUGCUGCCUGAGGACCACAGAGAAUCUGCAGCUGUGACUGCAGCACAGCCCAGCCUGCCCUGACCAACAUAGCUCCAAGAGAGCCAGACACGUGGAUCUCAGAGAAAUGGAUGAAUAGGCUGGGUGCGGUGGCUCACGCCUGUAAUCCCAGCAUUUUGGGAGGCUGAGGUGGGCAGAUCACCUGAGGUCAGGAGUUCAAGACCAGCCUGGCCAACAUGGUGAAACCCCAUCUCGACUAAAAAUACAAAAAUUAGCCGGGCGUGGUAGUGGGCACCUGUAAUCCCAGCUACUCGGGAGGCUGAGGCAGGAGAAUCACUUGAACCCAGGAGGCGGAGGUUGCAGUGAGCCGAGAACGUGACACUGUACUCCAGCCUGGGCAACAAGAGGGAAA